This 460-nucleotide ribosomal RNA is filed under the name uncultured bacterium. RNAcentral describes it as "partial 16S ribosomal RNA". It matches the Rfam family "Bacterial small subunit ribosomal RNA", at positions 338 to 795 of the family's 1533-position model. The record is from RNAcentral.
CCUACGGGAGGCAGCAGUGAGGAAUAUUGGUCAAUGGACGAGAGUCUGAACCAGCCAAGUAGCGUGAAGGAUGACUGCCCUAUGGGUUGUAAACUUCUUUUAUAUGGGAAUAAAAUGUUCCACGUGUGGGAUUUUGUAUGUACCAUAUGAAUAAGGAUCGGCUAACUCCGUGCCAGCAGCCGCGGUAAUACGGAGGAUCCGAGCGUUAUUCGGAUUUAUUGGGUUUAAAGGGAGCGUAGGUGGAUUGUUAAGUUAGUUGUGAAAGUUUGCGGCUCAACCGUAAAAUUGCAGUUGAAACUGGCAGUCUUGAGUACAGUAGAGGUGGGCGGAAUUCGUGGUGUAGCGGUGAAAUGCUUAGAUAUCACGAAGAACUCCGAUUGCGAAGGCAGUUCACUGGACUGCAACUGACACUGAGGCUCGAAAGUGUGGGUAUCAAACAGGAUUAGAUACCCCUGUAGUC